GCUCAUUAAUCUGGUCAAGAGCCUCAAGGAGGGUUGGCCCCUUGUACCAGUCAAGGUUGGUAGACCUCUCAAUCAUAUUGUCCCCCUCGAAACCAGAGAUGGGGACAAAGGGAAUCUUGUCAGGGUUGUAACCAACCUUCUUGAGAUAGGAAGAAACUUCCUUCACAAUUUCAUCAUACCUAGCCUUGGAGUACUUUGGGGUGGUAGCAUCCAUCUGCCAAAAAUAACAGAAUUAGCAUGGCAUGAAAUGUUUAAAAUAAUAAUUAAUUAUAAGCUAUCGAAAAAAGUAAACCUUGUUGCAGCAGCAAAUCAUUUGCUUGACACCAAGGGUGAAAGCAAGCAAUGCGUGCUCACGGGUCUGACCAUCCUUGGAAAUACCAGCUUCAAAACCACCAGUGGUAGAGUCAAUAAUAAGAACAGCACAAUCAGCCUGGGAAGUACCAGUGAUCAUGUUCUUGAUAAAGUCCCUGUGUCCAGGGGCAUCAAUCACAGUGCAGUAGUACUUAGUGGUCUCAAACUUCCACAAGGCAAUAUCAAUGGUGAUACCACGCUCACGUUCAGCCUUAAGCUUGUCAAGCACCCAGGCAUACUUGAAUGACCUCUUGUUCAUCUCAGCAGCUUCCUUCUCGAACCUCUCAAUAACACGCUUGUCAAUACCACCAAGCUUGUAGAUCAAAUGGCCAGUGGUGGUCGACUUUCCAGAGUCGACGUGGCCAAUGACCACAAUGUUGAUGUGAACCUUCUCUUUACCCAUGAUUCCUUAAAAACUGAAGAUCAUCACAAGAACAGAAAACCAAGAAUUAAAUUUUGAUAGUCAUUGAAACCAAAAUAAUUUCUACAAAGACACAAACUUUCAAUUAGACUCUUGUCUAAUGGUUCUCUUUGAAAUAUGUGAAACUUAACUCUAGACCAUGUAAUACGUAAAUUUUGGGGGUGGAAUGAGGGACUACGAAGAUAUUUAUCUUUUGGUGUUUGAUUAACCAAAAACAUUUCCAAGGAAAAGAUGUUCCAGGAAUGUAACUUCCAUAGACAGAAUUCAUUUUCCUUUUCAACAAUCAGCCAUCAAUCUGGACAUCUAUAAAUUUUCAUCAAAACGAUACUAUCAAUCUUUCACAAAUUCUUAGCAAAAAGUUCAGUUACAAAUCAAACACGGAAUAAAAAGGAAAACAUUUUCUAUCAUACCAAACAUACCAGAACCUAUAGAGUUUCUAAUAGUCAUAGAUUCAUUAUUCAAUUGACUUCCAAGUGUACAUAUCAUAAAAAUCCGUUUUAAAAAUUCAUCAAUAGAUCAAAAUCUAAGUGUAGCAAAUCAAAUCGAAUUAACAAAUAAAAAAAAUAAAUCGUAUAGGCUGCAACCAAUUAGUAGAACAGUUGAAAUCUAAUAUACAAAAACAAAAGGACAAUACCACAUAGACGAGAUUAAAAAAGGGAAGAAAAAGUUAUGAUAUCAAUUAAUUAGUAAAUAAAAACAAAUAAAUCUCAUAAUUCAAACUCAAGUAAAAUCAAUUCACAAGGUAAUUAGAUUGUGUUUUUCAACAAAUCACUGACAAAACACCAACUAGAAUACAAUUGAUUUGUAUGAAUAUAUAUAAAUAAUAGGCAGAAAAAUAGAACAGACCUAACCUUAAAAAGACGAGAGAGCUUCGCUAAAACCCUGGCUGCGCAGAAUAAAAGAAGCGAAGCGUUAGGGUUUUAGAAAUGCACCGAGUGAUGUUUUUAAAGCUCAGAAACCGUACCCGGGUUGGGCUUCUUGGGCCCCCACUGAAUUAGAUUUAACUAAGGCCAACUUGUGCUGCCCCUUAAACUUGGCUCCAGUUUUUAUUUUGACACUUUAACUAAGGGCGGUACCUAUUGAACACUCCAACUUAUUUAAAAGUAUAUUUAUUAAACACCUCACUUACUGCCAGUCAAAAAAAUAAAGUGUGUGUUAGUCACACGCGAAUGCGGUGGCAAAGUGACGAAUGAGACAAAGACACGUCGCAUUUGGGUCCAAAUAAUCUUAAGGAAAAAAAAAAUUUUAUUUCCACAUAAAAUCCCCUCCCCCACCUAAGUAGUUCCAUCGUCUCUCCGCCCUCAUCUUCCCAGCUCCUCCUCAUUCACCAUUCAUUGUUAGGCAAUCCUCACCUGUGUACAGAUAAAAACUACUCAAUCACUUUCGACCGUAACUACCAUCAACAUUGUCUUCACCAAAAAUUAUGCUUAAUUUGAUACUUGGACGAGGCAGAAAGAUAAGAGGACUCACUCGAAUAUACUGAUGUUUUCCCCAAAUUUAUGGUUCCCUUUCCCUUUGAGAACGUAAAUAAAUAUCCCAAGCUUUUCUCAAAUUUCUUGGGUUUCCUCUCUUUUUUUUCUUUUUUCUUUUCCUUUAUGGGUUUUAAUUAUUUUAUGAUUUAAGUUUUUUUUGUUAACAAAAAUUCAAAAUCUUAUUUUUUGAUUGAAAUUUAAGAAAAAUUCAAGUUCCAAUGACUUUUAUUGAGGGGAAGAAUGUGAAUUGUUUAAAUAGUUGUGUAUACUUUUGAUUCCUCUGUUUAUGUUUGACGAAAUUGAAGAAUUUGAAAGGGAGGUUUUUGUUUUGUGUUAAUGGUAAUUUUUUCUGUGCAUGAGAUUUUUGGGUGAAGGUGAGGUAAGACGAUUGUCGAGUUUUGGUGAAACUGGUGGUGCAGCUGUAUGUGUUUUGUGUUGUUGAAGAUAGUUCUGAUUUUUGUAAGGAAAGAUAGAGACAUUGAAGCUGGUGGUUAUGGCGUUUUGGGUUCACGCUACCGGUGGUUCACAGUGUUAUGUCGUGGAGUUGGUGAGGUCCUUUCGGAUUAAAAAUGUGUUUUCAAAUAAUUAAAAAAAGAAAAAAAUAUGGUUUGGUAUGAGUUCACUCGCUUUGAGAAAGUGAGAAAUACUUGUUUUUGUCAUGGCAUACUUUGUGUUUAAUAGGCACACUUUCAAAUAAGUUGGAGUGCUCAAUAGGUACUGGCCUUAGUUGAAGUGUCAAAAUGGAAACUGGAGCCAAGUUUAAUGGGUCGCACAGGUAUUUGGCCUUUACGUAAAUAUACUUAUCUUUUCUCUAAUUAUCAGGGCAACAUUUGUUAGAUUUUGAGUUCUGGCCAAAAUGUAUACAAAAAGUAAAUAAAAGGGGUAGGAAAGACACGUUUAUUUUGUGAGAAGCCCUGAAUUUUAGAGAUAACUAAUUUUAUAGGUUAUUUGCUUAGCCUUAAACUACAAAAGAAACUUUCUUAUAAGGAAAGUACAUAUUUAAUGCAUGAUGAAAAUAAAAAUUACCUUCUCAAUUCUUUAGUCAUACUGUAAAGUACCAUAAAAUAAAAUAUUACUAAAAGAAAACAAGCAUACUGAGAAAGAACCUAUGUUUAAGCAACCUAUUUCAAGUAUUAGUAUGGCUUGUUUAUCUCAACACCAGAUAAUAUAUUUUACUCAAUGGGAUAUAUAUGAAAUAUGAAUAAAAUUAAACUACCAGGUUGGUAUUCUCUUGUUUCUCUCCUUAUCCAAGCUGGUAUUUUUUUUAAUUUCGGAACGACCCUUUGCCCAUAUACCUUUCGCUACAUCUGGAAGCGUAGAAAAAACAGUGCAGACAUCAAAAACUUCAGCUUACACACUAAGUUAAAAAGUAUGCUAUGAAAAUCUUACAUAAGAAUGAAAUCAAAUAUAAUAAAGAGUAAGCAACUUGGAUUCAUUUAUGGCAAAUGAAAAGAGUAAAGGAACAAAGAUGAUGAAAAAUAGUAGCUUCUGAAAAAGUUAAAGUCCCAACAUAAUUGGAUCAAGGAAGAUUUCAGUUACCAGUUCGUCCUCAAAUGGUAAAGCUUUAAAUCAGAAUUAAGCAUCAUUUCAAGAAUUCAAACAACCCAUCAUUCUGCUUGGUGAAUGGACUUAAGGAGUAUCAAGUUGCCUACAUCAUAUAGUGUUUGAGUUUGUAAAGCACAUCUAAAUUGUAAUAUGAAACCUUAAGAGUUUGUUUGGAAAGCCAUCUAAAAAUUGAAUUUUAAUGUAACUAGGUGUAAUUUUACAAUUUGACGUGUUUGUCUAGCAUUACUUGGUCGGCGUGGUAAUUACACUGUGCAAUUACGCAAUCACUUUUUUUUUAUUUUAAAAUUUUAAAAUAUAUUUUUCUUUGUACAUUAUUUAUCUUUUAUUUUUCUACCUUUACUUUUUGUGAUUUCAUGUAAUUGCUCGUAUAUUUUAUUUCUUAUUUGUUUUAUUUUUUUAUUUUACGUAACUGCGUUAUUGUUCUAGUUUUUGAAACUACACCCCCUAAUAUUAGAAAUAAUGAGUCAUUAAUAAACUUGCCAUAUAAUGAGUGAUGUCCUUAAAGUACAAUUUCGUUGUUGAAUGAGGUUAUAAACUUAUUAUGUUUCCUAAUUUUAAGUUGUAUUGGAACUUAUUUUUAUUAUUGCGGUUUUUGACAUAUGUUAGACUUUUUUUUGGAUUUUAAAAUUGUGUUAUAUUUUGUUAAUUCACAUUGCAUGUUGUUCAUUUUUUUUAUUAAAAUUCAUAGAUUAGUUUUGUCAAAUAUUUGAAUAAUGUUAUGAUAUUAUAUUUAUAAAUAUUAAUUUAUUUUAUCAAACAUGCAUUCCAUGAUGCUCUUACAAAACAUAUUUAUUUAGGCCACCUCACCAACUCUCUCAAGGAUCUCAAAAGAGCCAAUAUACCUAGGGCUCAACUUGCCCUUCUUCCCGAACCUCAUCACACCCUUCAUGGGUGAAAUCCGCAACAAAACUCUCUCUCCUACCAUAAAUGCUACAUCACGAGGCCUCCGAUUAGCGCAACUCUUCUGUCUAGACUGAGCUGUACGAAGACGAUCCUGAAUCAACUUGACUUUAUCAAAGGCAUCCCAAACCAAAUCAGUGUCCAACAACCUAGCCUCUCCCGGCUCAAACCAACCAAUUGGAGAAUGAUAUUGUCUCCCAUAUAAGGCCUCAUAAGGAGCCAUUUGAAUACUCGAUUGGUAGUUGUUGUUGUAGGCAAACUCUGCAAGAGACAAUAACUGAUCCCAAGAAUCCCAGAAAUCCAUAACACAAGCACGAAGCAUAUCCUCUAAGAUCUGAAUGGUGUGCUCGGAUUGCCCGUCCAUCUGGGGGUGAAAUGAUGUACUCAACUCAACCCGGUGCCUAACUCGUAUUGCACGGCCCUCCAAAAAUGUGUGUGAACUGCAUGCCUCGAUCGAAGAUAAUGGACAUCGGCACACCGUAGAGACGAAUAAUCUCACGAAUAUAGAUCAGAGCCAACUGCUCAGAAGAAUAGAUAGUCACCACUAGAAUAAAAUGAGCCGACUUGGUCAACCUGUCCACAAUCACCCAUGUUGCGCGUCAAAUUUCUUCAAAGUCUGUGGGAGCCCAACAAUGAAAUCCAUGGUAACACGCUCCCACUUCCACUCGAGAAUCUUAACUCUCUGAAACAAACUGCCUGACCUCUACUGCCCGUACUUCACCUGCUGACAGUUCAGGCACCAAGCCACACACGCCACUAUAUCUUUCUUGAUUCUCCUCCACCAAUAAUGUUAUCUCAAAUCCUAAUACAUCUUAGCGGCACCCGGAUGAAUGGAGUACCGCGAACUAUGGGCCUCCUCAAGAAUCAACUCAUGCAACCCAUCCAUAUUGGGCACACAUAACCGGCACUGCAUCCGCAACACCUCGUCAUCUCCAAUAGAAACCACAUUGGCAUCGCCAUGAUGUACCGUGUCCUUAAGGAAGACCGAGAAACCACGCAAGCAAGAACCUGACUAGGCUCCGAAAUAUCUAAUCUAACAAAUUGAUGGGCCAAAGCCUGAACAUCCAUGGCUAGGGGCCUCUCAGUUGCCGGUAAUAUGCCAAACUACCCAAACUCUCUGCCUUUCUACUCAAGGCAUCGGCCACCACAUUGGAAAUCGAAAGUUCAAAAGUUCAUUGAGUUCGAUUUGAGGUGCGAUUCAUCAUUUAAAUAUUAUUAUGCGUAUUUUGAGGCCUCGAGUAGGUCCGUGUUAUUUCAUGGGACUUGUUGGUAUAUUUGGACGGGGUCCCGAGGGGCUCGAAUGAGUUUCGGAUGAGGUUCAUAUCAUUUUUGUCGUAUGUUGCAUUUGGUGAAUGAGGCUGGAUCUGGGCAAAGUCUGGUAUGGUUGCACCUGCAAACUACUGGGCGCAUGUGUGAGAGUCGCGGGUAUAAGGAAUGAGGCAUAGAAGCGGAACUGGAGGGCUGGCACUGUGGUCGCAGCAGCGAGAAGAUUGGCGCACCUGCGACACCACAUGUGCGAUGAAUUGGAGUGCAGACGCGACGAGCUUCGCAAGAGCGAAAUGGUUUUAUCGCAGGUGAGAGGGGUACUAGGACAAGCUGCUUUCGCAUAAGCGAAGAAUUUUUCCACAUAAGUGAACGUCGCAGAAGCGACCUACUAUCCGCAAAUACGAACAAUGUUGGGCAGAAUGCUUUAAGUUUGAGGGUUUGAUAUUUUUUUACCUAUUUUUGGAUUUUUGGAGCUCGGUUUGGGUGGCUUGGGAGAGAAAAUUCAUCAUGUGGAUUGGGGUAAGCAUUCUUAACUCGUUUGUGAUUAUAUUUCACGAAUUAAUCUUCAUUUUUGGUAAUUGAAUUGUGAAUUUUAAAGAGAAAAUUGGGGUUUUUUUGUCUAAAUUCAUAAAGUGAAUUUUUGAGUUUUGAACAUCGAUUCGGAGUUGGAUUUGAGUGAAACUAGUAUGGUUGGACUCGUAAUUGAAUAGCUUGUCGGAUUUUGUGAGUUUUGUUGGAUUUCGAGGUGCGGGCCUAGGUUUAACUUUUUGGUUGACUUUGGGCUUUUGAUUAAAGAUUUGACCUUUAUAAUUUGAAUUUUUUUCUUAGGCAUUAUUUGAUGUAUUUGAGUUGGUUUUGGCUAGUUUCGAGCCGUUCGGAGGUCGGUUGGCGCGGGAUGGCAUGUUGGAGUAUCGUUUGGCUUGUUCGAUAUUGGAUUUGGCUUGUUCGAAGUAAGUAACACUUCUAAACUUGGUGUUGAGGGUAUGAACCCCUGAAUACAUGUGAUAUGUAUUUGGUGUUGAGGUGACGCACAUGUAGGUGACAGGCGUGUGGGCGUGCACCGUGUGAAUUAUGACUCAAUUGAUUCUGUAGUACUAUGUAGUUACCUAAUCUUGUUUUUAUCCAUGAAAUCUCUACGUGCUAAAGUAAUUGAGCUGUGAUCCAUGUUAGAAAUCAUGUUUAGGUUAUAUGCUUAUUCUGUCGGGACCCACUGAGGUCAUAUCUAGUGUGAUUUAUUUGCUUAAAUUGCAGUUACAUACUCAGUCAUACUCGUUCAUUUGCAUAUCAUAUCUCAGUCUCUGUUGCGAUUUAUUGAUACAUCAUAUCAUCAUUUUGGGCUGAUUUUCAUGACAUUGUGAGCCCGAGAGUCUGGAGAGAUUGGUGACUGAGUUGGGGCAUGAGGGCCGAAUUGUGAGAGGUAUUGAUGGGAUCGGGUUGCACGUCGUAGCAGGAUUUAUUAUUCUUGGGGUUAGAUCUGCCCUGUAUUAUUGAUUCAUGAUGAGAUCGGCUUGCACGUUGCAACAUGUUUUAUUUAUUCAUGCCAUGAUUGGCUUAUUAUAGCGCUUGGGCAGGAUAUGCCCCUCUGGAGUCUGCACACCCACAGUGAGCACAGUUACUAUUGAUUUAUUUAUGCUGGAUCUACCCUGUACAGUGCUGAGUUACUGAGAGUGGUAAGGCUUGGAUCUGCCAUGUUCAGUGCUAAGUGACUGAGUGUGUUGAGCGAUUGAGCGUGAUGAGUGAAAAGUAUGAGAUAGUGAGAUUGAGUACUCUGAGAGUAUGCAUAUGGUUUUAUCACUGAGUUGCAUUGCAUUCAACAUGCGCACUUGACAUACAUGCAUAGAGAUGCAUUUUCCUCAUGAUGUACAGUAUUGCGUCAUUCAUGACUUCACAUACACAUUGACAUGUAGGCAUAGAGAUGUAUUUUCCCCAUGCCAUUUGAAAAUGAAACAUUUACUUAUUGAAAGUUUUGGGAAAAAUCACAAGUUUACAAACUUACUCAUAUUUUGGUGAUUUCGGUAAAAGAUUUUGGUUUUCACUGAUAUACUUGAAAAGCAUGCCUAUUUUUCGGAACUGUGAACGAGCUGAGCAUUAUAUCUCUUAUUUCUUUUAUUACUUUUAUUAUGUUGUUACGAACUAUUGUUGGCUAUUAGUGUUGGACUCUAACCUUUGUUCCAUAUUGUCACUACUUUUAACCUAAGGUUAUGUUUAUUACUUAUUGAGUGCAUGAGGUCAGUUGUACUCAUACUAUACUUCUGCACCUUGCGUGCAGAUGUUGGAUGAUGAUGUUGCUGUGUACGGCGGGAGCUGGAUUUGAAGAUGUACCUGCCUCCCGGUCAUAGCUGCCUCUUGAUCUUUGUAGCUUUAGAAUUUUAAUUUGUUUAUGUAUAUUUCAAACAGAUGAUGUACUUUAUUUCAUACCAGCUUUGUAAAUUCUAAAUCUUAAAAGCUCAUAAUUUGUACUACCAUUCCUUGGGAAAUGUAUAAAGGUUCAGUUAUUUUAUCAUUCAUCUGUCUUUAUAAAUCUCAUUAAAUUGGAUAGUUGUUAAUUGGCUUACCUAGUUUGUAGGGUUAGGUGCCACCACGACUAGUUGAAUUUUGGGUCGUGACAUUGUCCUUCCCAGGAUGAGACAAAAUAGUGAUAUCAUAUUCUUUCAACAACUCUAACCACCUCAACUGUCGCAAAUUAAGAUCUUUCUGCUUGGAUAGAUGUUGGAGACUCCGAUGGUCGGUAUAGACCUCGCAUGGGACAUCGUAUAGAUAAUACCUCCAAUUCUUCAAUGCAUGAACAAUAGCUACCUAUUCCAAGUCAUGGACCAAAUAAUUCUUCUCAUGUACCUUCAAAUGCCAAGACGCAUAGGCAAUCACCCUACCGUCUUGCAUCAACACUGCGCCAAGCCCAACACGCGAUGCGUCACAAUACAUAGUGUAAGACCCCGAACCCGUAGGCAACACCAACACUAGGACUGUAGUCAAUGCAAUCUUGAUCUUUUGAAAGUUCGCCUCAAACUCCUUAGACCAUUUGAAAUGAGCACCUUUCUGGGUCAGUCUAGUCAAAGAUGCUAUAAUGGAUAAGAAACCCUCUACCAAACAAUGAUAAUAUUCGGCCAAACCAAGGAAACUCCGAAUCUCAGUAGCUGAAGACAGUCAAGGCCAACUCUAAACUGCCUCAAUCUUCUUGUGAUCUACUUUGAUUCCCUCACUAGAUACCACAUGACCCAAAAACGCCACCGAAUCAAGCCAUAAUUCACACUUAGAGAAUUUUGCGUACAACUUCUUCUCCCUCAAGAUUUGGGGCACGAUCCUCAGUUGAUGCUCAUGAUCCUCCCGAAUGCGGGAGUACACCAAGAUGUCAUCGAUAAACACAAUGGCAAAUGAGUCAAGAUAUGGCUGGAAUACGAUGUUUAUCAGGUGCAUAAAUAUUGUUGGGGUGUUGGUCAACCCAAAUGACAUCACUAGAAACUCAUAAUGACCAUAUCGAGUCCUGAAGGAAAUCUUCUGCAUAUUCGGAUCCUGAAUCUUCAGCUGAUGAUACCCUGACCUCAAAUCAAUCUUCGAGAACACUCUAGCACCCUAAAGCUGGUCAAAUAAGUCAUCAAUGCUAGGUAAUGGGUACUUAUUCUUCCCUGUAACCUUGUUCAACUGCCUAUAAUCAAUACGCAUCCGCAUCGAGCCAUUCUUCUUCUUUACAAACAGAAUCAGAGCACCCCAAGGUGACACACCAGGCUGGAUGAAACCCUUAUCAAGCAACUUUUGCAGUUGUUCAUUUAACUCAUUCAACUCCACUGGUGCCAUACGAUAUGGUGGAAUAGAAAUGAGUUGAGUGACAGGCACCAGGCCAAUACCAAAAUCGAUAUCUCUAUCGGGGGGCAUGCGUGGAAGAUCCGUUGGGAAUACAUCUGGGGAGUCUCUCACUAUAGGAACUGACUCAACGGUGGGAGUGUCAGUAUUGACAUCCCUCACAAAGGCUAGAUAUGCAUCACACCCUUUCUCAACCAUCCGUUGCGCCUUCAGAAAGGGCACAACUUUACUAGGAAUGUAAUCCAAUGUACCCAUCCACUCUAACCGCGGCAAACCUGGCAUAGCCAAUGUCACAGUCUUGGCGUGACAAUCCAAAAUAGCAUGAUGGGGAGACAACCAGUUCAUGCCCAAGAUCACAUCAAAGCCUACCAUAUUGAGUAAUAUUAGAUCAACUCUGGUCUCAAAACCACCAAUAACAAAUAAACAUGACCGGUAAACACGGUCCACAAUAAUAAAAUCUCCCACAUGUAUGGACACAUAUACAGGAAAACUCACACGAGAUAUAUCCAAAUACGAGGCAAAGUAAGAUGACAUAUAUGAAUAAAUAGAGCCUGGAUCAAAUAAUAUUGAUGCAUCUCUAUGACAAACCGGAACAAUAUCUGUGAUAAUUGCGUCUGAUGCGACCGUCUUCGUCCUACCCAGAAAAGCAUAAAAUCUGGCCUGGCCUCCCCCUCUAUGGAAACCUCUACCCGCUUGCCUCCAUAUCUAGCUAGUUGGGCGGGUGGAGUGGCAAUUGGAGCAGCAACUAUGGCUUGUGAAGUCUGUGGACCCUGUGGAAUACGUGGAGCAUGUGUGGUCUAUGGAGUUGCACCCCUCCUGGGUCGGGGUAGUCCCUCACCAUAUGUCUAGUAUCCCCACAAUCAAAAUAAGCUCUCGGUGGGAAUGGCUGCUGAAACUGACCCUGGCCUGGUCAAGCUAGACUGACCACUAAAGGCACCCCAUGUAGGAGGUGCACUAGAAAUGGCUGAGCAAAAUGGGUAACCUGGGACUUAGAAUAGCAGGAGCACCGCUAGUAACUGAAAGUGUUGCAUGAACUGGGCGGCUCACAUAGCCUCUGCCGUGAUGAGCUGCAACUGGAGCACGUGCACCACUAUAUCCUCACAAGUCUCGAGGCCUUUUGGCCUCCUCGUCCUCUCUCUCAUAGCCCCUCAUAUCCUCCAACAUCCGCGUAAUCUCUACCACCUAUUGAUACAGAGUAUCCAUCUCCAACUCUCGAUCCAUGCUGAAUCUAAUACCAUAGUUAAGCCCUCGAUGAAUUUGUAGACUCGCUCUCUGACUGUAGAAACCAAAGUAGGUAUAUGUCGGGAUAACUCACUGAAUCUGAUAGCAUACUCUGACACUGUCAUAGUCCCCUGGCGCAGCUGUUGAAACUCUGUGCGCCAUUCAUCCUGAAGGGUCUAGGAACAAACUCUCUCAAAAAUAUCUCUAAAAAUUGAGCCCAAGUGAGUUGGGAUACAUCAGCUGGUCUACCCUCCUCUAACCCUUCCACUACUGAUACGCUGCUUCUGAGAGCUGAAAUAUGGUAAAAGCGACUCUGUUCACCUCCACAAUACCCAUGGUGUGGAGAAUACGGUCGCAUUUCUCUAGAAACCCCUAUAGUUCCUCGGUAGUUGCGCUACUAAAAGUAGGAGGAUCAUACUUCUUGAGCCUCUCAAGCCUCAUUUUCUCCUCCUCAGAAGCCGUUGGCCUAAUCUCAGGCUGAACUGGAAUAACUGGUUGUGCUGGCAUGACACCCAAGACCUGAUCAAUAUGGACCCGCUGCUCUGGAGUGUAGGCCGCGGGAGUCUGAGCUCCUCCUCCAACCUGAUAUGUGGCUGGUGCAAGGGGAAUCAAUCCCGCCUGAGCUAGAGUGCACAACAUGCUCAAGAACUAUGCUAUGGUCUCCUGAAGUCCAGGGGCAACAACAGGCGUCUCGGGUUCCUGUCCCCCAACCGGAGCUAGUGGUGGCUCCUCAGUUGCUGCUCGGGCAGGUGCUCUGGCUGCACCAUGUGCCCCUCUUUGGCCUCUACCCCGUCUACGUUCUCGCGCGGCUCUAGCAAGGGAGCGUGUGUCUGAUCAUCAGAUCCAGCAGUGCGUGUCCUCACUACAUAUGAGAGAAUAAAAAGACAAAGACUCAGAUUUUGAAAUCAACAAAUUCGCACGAUAAGGAAUCAAAGAAGUGGAAUUUCGUAGUAGUUUUGUAGCGUCUCGAAAAUAAGUACAGACGUCUCCGUACCGAUCCACAAGACUCUAAUAAGCUUUCUUAUGACUCGUAACACCUAUAAACCUAGAGCUCUGAUACCAACUUGUCAGGACCUCAAUCUCCCACCUUAGGAUAUCGUGAUGACACUUAGUCUUUAAGACUAGGUAAGCCUAACAUACAUUGAAAAAUAACAGAAAUAAUAAUAAAACCUCAAUUUAACCAUUAAACUAUCAUAAUAAAACUCAACAGUACAACUGUGAACAACUCCCCAAAACAUGGUGGAACCGAGUCAUAAGCUCUACAAGAAUGUACUAAUAGUCUCGGACUACAAUACUGUUUUAGGACAAGAAAUAAACAAUAGAAUAUCUAAAAGCAUAAGGUGACUUCGGGGCCUGCGAAUGUCGGGUAGGUAUAUCUUGAAGUCUCCAAAAGUAACUAAUCAAUCACUGGCUUCCAGCACAGGCAGAUGUACCUGGAUCUGCAUAAAAUAUGCAGAAGCAGAGUAUGAGUAUACCACAACAGUACCUAGUAAAUAUCAAGCCUAACCUCGGUAGAGUAAUGACAAGGCCAGGUCAAGACACCUACUAGGAGAAAAGAAACUAAACAGAGUAUAGCGUAGUCUAAAUAUGGGAAAACAAGGAAGUAAAUGGCAAGUAAACAAUUCAAUAAUAUAAGCUAACAACGGAGAUUUAAGAAGUAAAGGCAACUAGGAGUAAACAUAUGAUGAAACAAAAAGAAGGCAAUACGAAUUUAAUGAAAGUCAUGUUGACAAAUACCAACAAUUAUAAUUCAAUUACCAACAUCAAACACCACUCGCAACCUGUCUACGGAGCCUCUAAGUACAACUGAAGAGUAAUAUGAAAAUACCAGCAAUAAGGCCCCGACUAUACCUCAAAACACAGUACAAAGAUACAUGACCCCGAAAUGAAGGGGGUUCACCAAGUCAGCUGAAGAGAGUGUACCGCUAUCACAGAUCAUUACUUCUGCUAUGAAACCACCUGCAUCCAUUAAAGAUGCAGUGCCCCCGGCAAAAGGGAUGUUAUUACUAUCGAAUAGUACUAGUAUGUAAAGCUAAAAGUCCUCUUUCAAAAUAGAAUGACCAUAUAAGAAAAGGAAAUCCAUAGAAACAACAAGUCACAAUCAACUAUAUCCAAAUGCCCAAUUGAAACAUAACAAUUUUCAAAAUACGAAAAUAAUAUAUAUUUUUGGUUAGGAGAUCAUUAGCACCGAUAUACCACCAUCUUUGUUAGCACGGAGUCCGAUCACGCCCGAUCGACUAGGCUAUCUCCCCACGAACAAUGUGGUUUGACAUGUGAUGCGAAAGAAAGUUGUUAUCAAGAGUAGUACCACCAUGUACGCAACAUAGCGUCCGAUCUCCACCCGAUCAGCUAGGCCGCCUUCCCACAUAUGCUGUGUGGGUUGACUUUUCCAAUUCAUAGCUAUUACCAGUUUCAUCCCACUUAAGGAAAAUAAUCACAAUUUCAUCAAUAUUUCAAUUUCAUUCCAAAUAAGGGGAAUAAUCACAAUCCACCCCUACACCGGCACGUGUAGUUUCAGGUGUGGGACUUAUGACCCACCCUUCCUCGGUUUUGCUAAUGAUACUCCCAAAAAUAUUUUUAUUAAUUGAUUUGCACACAAAGGUAAUAUAAAUACAUAUGUACUCACCUCAACCUCUUUCACAUUGUAUAAAUGCUCACUAGUAUUUCUAGUCACUCACAACAAUAAUAUUUCUUUGGCUCAUUUGGCCAUUCACAAGAUUCUUUAUUCUUGGCAUGGUGGCCAUAUUUCAUGUUCCGUACUUUCACAUCUUUCAAUUUCAAAGUUCACCAUCAAAUAUCAACAUAUAGAAUAUUUCAACAAUCAUAUACCUCAAAUUUAUUAGUAAUGGAAACUUUAAACACAAAAAGGUUUCUUCCCAAAGAAUGGGGCAUACCGACCAGCAAUAGAAACACACAUCAAAAUCAUAAACAAUCAAUACACCAUUUAUUCUUGCAAUACUCUUUCCCAAAAUGACAAUAUACAAUUUCAACUCCCGAGUAUGUGAGAACUCGAGCCACACUAGAUAUAUUUGUAAAGCAAAGCAUUAGUUAAAACAACCACUUAUGGGCAUUAAUUGAGUACAAAAGCUUUUAGGCAAUUCUAUUUUCGAAAUCAUUUUUAAACAGUUGAGUCAAGGCUCAUUUCAUUGGUACCACUAGCCACAAUUAUAACUUAAAUUCUUGGUACAUUGGCCACACUCUAUAUCCCUAAUUCACUUAUUUCAUCUUGGGCAAAUAUAUAGACGACCCCUUAAACUUGGCUCCAGUUUCCAUUUUGACAGCUUAAUUUAGUGUUUUUUCUAUUGAACACUUUAAUUCUAUUUUGGUGUAUACCAUUUAAACACAACGCAUGUACGGCCAAAGGAGCGUUAUGUCCAUACAUGAUAAACGCGUGAAUAUUAUUAAUAUUUGCUUAUAUGGAUAUUCCAACGGUAAAAAUAAAACCCACCCGUUAGCCCCACUUUAAAACACCCGAUUUUCCCAUUUUUUCUUUCAAGAAUGCCCUAAUUCCUCUUUCAUCUUCUUCCCUUGAAAAUUCGCCAUUUUCCCCUUCUAUUGAAGCUUAGGUGCCCAAGCUUGAAUCUUGAUCUGAUUUCUUCCUCAUCUUUCUCAUUUAUCAGUUCCAUGUCUCAAAAAUCAAUAACUUCUCGCAAUGGAAUGGAAAUUUGCCACUGUAGAUUUAAUGUGCCACUGACUAUAUCAUGGUCAUCUGCAAACCCAGGUCAUCGAUUUUAUGGUUGUAAAUUGGUAAGUCGAUCGUAUUAUUUUUGUUAGACCCUUGAAUUUCUUAAUAAAGAAAUCUGUUUUAAAUUUUUUUGGCCGCAUUUCUUUUUGAAUUUUGUAGGGUCGAGGUGGCUACAAAUAUUUUAGAUGGCAUGAUGAUGAAAUGCCUGAUCAAGCUAAGAGGGUUAUACAAGGUCUGUUGAAGAGAGUCGAAAGAACUGAGAAAAUAGUUGCGCGGUUGAAGUGGUUAUUUAUUGUGGUGGUGGUGCUAUUUCUAUGGAUUUGGCUUUGGUGAUGCUGGUGGUUUGAAGAACAAUGUAGUAUUUUUAUGAUAUGCUGGUGCUAAUAGUAUUGUAGUUGCUGCUAUUAGUUCAAGAAAAAUGUAGUAUGUUGGAAGUAGGUACUAGGAAUUUGGCCUUUUGUUAAUGUACACUAUCUUGUUAUGAAUGAAAUGGAAAUGACCAAUUUUUAAUGCAAAUUUAAGUUCAGUUGCACUUCCAUAAUGUGUUAUGAAUGAAAUGCAAAUUCAUAUUCAUGAAUUGAAAACAUAACUGCCUAAACAUUCCAUUGCAUAAUGUGAUGGACUAGCAUUAUAUCCAAGCUAAAAAAUAGAGCAUUGUUUUGGUCUACAAAUUACAAAAAACAAAGCAUUGUUUUCCCAAACAUAUAACUGCCCAAACUAGUAAACUCUAAUAGAGCAUAAUUGCCCAAACAAAAAACUGGUAGUGACAUCUUAGAUAACAUAAAUAAAAACUGGUCCGCUUCAUAGUGUAGAUGCAGCUGAACUUGUUUGACUUGAAGAACCUUUUUUCCUUGUUGCACUCAUUUGCCGAAGUUGUGACCUUGUCACUGCAUUUCUUCCUUUAAACUUCAAUCCGGGGGGCUUAAAUCCAAUGUCUAUGUUAGUUGCAGAUGUAUCCUUGAAUGCCCCAGCUGAUAUGACUCUCUCAGAUGAUAUACCAGGCUGUAAAAUACGAUGAAUUAGGAAAAAACAGAACAAUUCCAGCCCACAAAACUGCAUUAUAAUAAACUAUACACCCUUACAUUUAGGAUAAUAGUUCCAGUCAUAGUGUUAGUGAAAAUCUCAAAACCAGUAUGCCUUGGCCUUUUAUGUACAAUAGUUGUUGCAUUAGCCGAGCCUCCUCCUAGUGUAGUUCCUCUUCCUUUUCCCCUACCUAGUCCAUGGCAUCUUCUUCCUCUUCCUCUACCAAGCCCAGUUGAUUGGUUGUUGCUUUGUCUCUUGACAACACUUGUAUCCUCACAUAAAGAGGAUGGAUUGCUUUGUUGAGAUGGUAUUUCUUGAGAUGAUCUUGGUGGAGGUGGUGGCAUAUUUUGACUUUGUUGAGUAGCACUUCUUGGAACAUGCUGACAGAAGUAAAAGAAAAGAAUAUCAGAAUUACAAAAAAGAAUGUAAAAGACAUAAUUACAAAUAUCAGAACUUACCCCUUUCCUGCAUCCAGAUUUGUUGUAUCCUGUUUGUUGGAAGUUUGAACAAGUCAUCUUUACCCCUUUCUUUGAUAGUUUACCAUGCUUUUUUCCUGGUUCAUCCUUGGCUUUUCUCCUACAUCUCUUUGGUCUACCUGGCAUAGGUUUAGGUUCUGGAGGCUCUAUAGAUGGAUUUGUUGAAUCUGACCACAUCUUCAUGUUGGGAAUUGGUUGAAUGAAAUACUGGUAAGCUUUAAGGAAAGUUUCCUUCCUAUACUAGUGGGCAACAUAAUCAUCUGGGUCCAUUUCUCUAUCAUAGAAUGCACAUACUGCAUGUUGACAUGGAAUGCCCCUCAACAUCCAUGAUCUACAAGUACAUGUCAUGGUCCUAAAAUCAACAAUGAAUCUGUAUACACCUUCAUCAACUUCAAACCCAUGUUCUGCAUUUCACAUAACCUUACACCCCCUAGAAAGGGCUUUGUUCUCUUCCAGUAUCAUCCUAACCAUUGGUGCAAUGUCAGUAACCCAAGUCUCAGCAAACUUCCUCAUUUUAAUGGUCUUAUUCAUAAUUUUAUGUCUAAUUUCUUACAACAUAGUUAUAACAGACUUGUGCCUAGGACCUACUAUCCAAGAAUUAAAUGUUUCACACAUGUUAUUCCCAAUGACAUCACACUUUGAAUCUUCUCUAAAGUAUGCCCUACACCAAUACUCUUUAUCAUACUUCAACAAGUCUUCACAUAUCUUAUAACCAAGCUUAUUCAUUGCUUCCAGUUCUUCCUUGAAAUUUACUUCAUAAGAUACUUUGGCACAUCUCCAGAAUUGUUUCCACCUUUCUUCACCUCUCCAGUUCUUGGACCAGUUAGACCAAAUGUGUCUAGCACACAUUCUGUGUUCUGUCAUUGGUAGUAAUUCCCUUAUAGUUGGUACUAGUCCCUACAAAAAAUAGUAAUAACUGUUAGUGGACAGUAUAUAUAAAGCAGGAAAAAGAAAAAUUAAAAGUUGAUUGUAGCUUUACCUUUUGCUUGCAUACAAUUCCCAGUUACACUUGACUCUUUUACAAUUAAAUCUAACCAUAUCCUUUUCAUUAGGCCUAAUUGUUAGUUGCACUUUGUUCUCCACAUCAUAUGAGGCUACUGCUUUUCUAAACUAUACAGCAUUUUCAAAUACCAUACCAAGCUCAAAAUAGCAAGGUAACAGUCAGGGUCAAACCUUACCUUUUUACUUCUCCUUCUAGGAGGUAAGUCAAUACCCAUUUCAGCUAAAACAUCUAACUCAUUUGUGCUAUCAUCACUUCCAAUAUCAGAACUAGUGUAGUAGUCUCCAUCCCCUCCUAAUUUUCCAGCAAACCUAUCCUCCUUAGAUGGUCUUCCAAUAUCCUCAAAGCCUUUAUCUAUUCCAGCUUCUCCCAGAAUAAUCUCUUCAGUUGGAGUAGGUUUCUUUCUUUGUUUCUUCUGCUUUUUCUUCUUUCUUCUUUCAUGCCUUAAUGAAGUGAGCUCUUCAUUAACAUCACUAUCAUCUUCAUCAGGAAUGUUAUCUAAUUCAGACUCACUACUUGAUAGAUUUGAUGCCAAACUAGCAUCUAUGUUUGUUGUUUCUUCAGCCCCUUGUAAAUUCUCACUUGCAACCCCAACAUCAACUAGAUUUUCCUGAGGCACAGAUGUGUUAUCUGCAACACUUUCUUGGAAAUUUAUAUCCUCUGAAACAAUAGAUGUUUCCCUAGCCUCUUUAUUUAAUGUAUUUUCACUUGGUUCAACAACUUCUGGCCCACAUAAAAGGCCACAUGGGAAAGUCUCAUCAAGCAACACAGGCUCAUUAACUACAUGCUUAAUAUACAAAUCUAAAUGAUCAAGAUGAUUAAGGUGACAAACUAUAUUAUACAGUUGUUCAUCAUUUUCAAUCAAGACAAAGUCAUUAGAUUUAGGAUUAAUUAAAUAAAAACCCUCUACCUCAGCAUAACCCAUAUCCUUUAUGUAGGACAGAAGCUCAAAAAGAGAAAAGUGGUCCUUGUCUAUCAUGCGACCAUCCUCACCCCUCUCUCCUACAUAUCUCGGGACAUGAUCCCUUGACAAUAUGUCCACCAUGGUGAAAUCGACAAGAAUAUAUUCGUCUGCAGACAUGUCUAGACCCUCGAAACUUCAGUCACGACCAGCCAGUUACGACCAACUUCACUCACCACCACAGUCAAAAGAAGCAAAUGAUUACCCGUAUUAGUAAUAUAAUGGCCAAAUAGCUGACAGAUAGUUGAAUCUAACUCAAAAUUGAUGAAUAUUCCACCGGGAAUCCAUCUCAAUGUACUUUAUUAGGGUUUAUUAGGCUAAAGAAAAGGGAUUUUGGGUGGAAGAUCGAUUAAGUGAGGCGAGGUAUGUGGGUAAGGUAAAAACGGGGUUUUUUAUCUGACCUGGAUAAAUAAACACGUGUCAGACUAUUAUUGGUAUAUUAUUCCAUGUGGAAAGCAUUUAAAAACACGCGCUUAAGUUUUUACAGCCCGGUCAUGCAUUGUGUUUAAAUGGUAUAGUACAAAGUACAGUUAAAGUGUUCAAUAGGAAAAUAGCUAAGUUAAGGUGUCAAAAUGGAAACUGGAGCCAAGUUUAAAGGGCCGUACACCUAUUUGGCCUUUCAUCUUCAAACAUCUUUAUAGAUUAUCAACCACAAGACAUUUUCAAUCAAGACUUUAGGUACAUAUAUGAACAAUUUAGAGUCUUAAGUACAUUGAGUUUUUCUCACCCAAUUGGUAUACUAGUUUUCAUUUAAAACACGACUCAAAGUCAUAACAUUUUAAUACGCAAACCAUACUUUGAACAUAUAUCUUUCGACAUAAGGCUCAUUCGGAAUAGUCAAAUUUGUAGGAGAUAACCCGGAAUAUAGAAAUUAGAAAUCUUGAGCCAACCAUACUUGAACUUACGGGAACAUUAUGGAAUUCGAUUCUAAGAGAGAAAGUUUAGCCAACAUACCUUGUUCGAGCUUUUCUUAAGUUACUACAAUGCCCCAACACUUCUAGCAAUAACAAUCUAUAAGAAGAUAGUGAAAAUCGGUUAAUAAUUAGAAGGAUUUCUAUUAUGUAACUCUCUUAGGAAUUUUGUCAAACACCUAACAUGCGAAGUAGAUCACAAGGCUCUACAAUGUAGAUCCUUUCAUUCCUCAUCCAAUUUCAACAAGAAACUAUCCAAAAUAGUUCAUUAACCCCACAUACUACAACUUUGUGUCACAUGCAUGGCCUAUUUCCAACCCCACAAUAUAUUUGAACUCAUAACCUCUUGUAUGAAAGCUUAGAAGUAGGACUUACUAGGAUGAAUGAUAAUCUAGUGAUUGACUUCCUUGAUUCUUGAAGAUUGGUGCAAGAUUGGAUGAUUGGGAGGUUAGGUUUUCUCAUUCUCUCUCUAAAAUGAUCUCACAUCUCUCUAGACUCACCAGAAAAUCGUCCCAAAUAGCCCCAAGGGCUAUUUAUUAAAAUGGGGCCGGGUUAUAAAAAAACCCAGAAAUUGCACAGCCGCGCCGCAUGGGGCGGCGCGGGACACGGCGCGGCAGUGACAAAUGUGCCCAGAAAUGAUUUUGGAAAGUGUUCUGGAAAUCCCCACAGGCGCGCCGCAUGGGGCCCCGUGGUAGUGUCACAUUCUGCCAGCGUUUGGUAAUUUGGUCAUAACUUCUUGUAUGAGUGUCCAAAUGACGAACGGUUUGAAGUGUUAGAAACUAGGCUCGAAGAUAUUUCAUUUGAUAGGUUGUUCAUCACAUAACUCCUUAUAUAUGUACAUAUGAUCAUCCAAAUGUUGGUCUUGUGCGUACUCAUUUGGAACUUUAGUCUAUUAUGUAAUUUUCCAACUUGACUUAGACUUAGGCCUCUCUUUAUACCCCACAUCCCUUAUAAUAUGCCUCGUACACUUAUUAUCAUAUCCAAUUGAUAUCCAUUAUAUUAAUAGUCCUCGUCUGCACACAAAAUAAUAUAAUUAGCACACGUCAACUUUCUUAAUAGCGCUUAAGUAAUUCAAAACUUUUUGGGGUGCUACAGUUGGCUUUCACGAACGCAGCUGGAGGACCGCAAACGCGAAGGGCAUGGGCUGUUGGGCAUUGCGAACGCAAGACUUAGGUCAUGAAUGCGUAGAGGUAGGAGCUGGGCUGAGCUAGCUUGGCCUUCGCGAUCCCGAGGCCUUUUCCGCGAUCACGAAGAAGGACGGGCCUAGGCAAACUUGAAUUUAAUGCAGGACUUAGCUCUCUUUCUCUUAUUUCCACUUGAGUUGGCCGAAUUUAGGGAGAUAUUUUGAGGGUAUUUUCAUCAAGUAACACAAGGUAAGUGAAUUCUAUCUACUUUUGAGUUAAAUACAUGGAUUAUGAAUAGAUUUAACAUGGAAAUAAGUGGAAAUUGUGGGAUUGUUUUGGAAACCUAAGGUUUGGUAAAAAUAGGAUUUGACCGCAAAAUUGAUAACGGAAUUGAGAAUAAAUUACAUAUUUGAGUUUGUAACAUCAUGGGUAAUAUUUAUCUUCCAAAGUUUUUGUAAUCCGGGCAUGUGGGCCCACGAGUAGCUUUUAUGGACAUUCUAAAUUUGGUUGGAAAAUCACUUUAAUAGUUAAAUUAUGAGCUUUUGAGUAUAUAUUGAUUAGUUUAUACGGCUUUUGACAAGUUUCGGAUUACUCAGCAUCGUUUAGGGUCAACUAAUGAGGUCUUAGAGCCGAGUAGUGAGCUUGGAAGCGAGGUAAGUGUCUUACCUAACCGUGCAAAAGGGAAUUAUUCCCUUAUGUGUAUUGAUUGUUGUGUGCUACUUAUUGUGGGAGCUACGUACGCACGAGGUGAUGAGAGUCCGUACGUAGCUAUAUUCAUGUUAUGUCCGGGUAAACUUAGAUUCACAUCGCCCUGACAUUGUUGUAAAUUAUUCUAAUAGAAUCGGGUCGUUCGUCUCGGCAGUAUUAUAAAUUACUCUUAUGAGAUCGGGUCGUUCGCCUCGGCAGUAUGGUAACACUACUCUUAUGGGAUCAGGUUGUUCGCCUCGACAUUAUUGUAAAUUACUCUUAUGAUAUCAAGUCGUUCGCCUUGAUAGACUCAUGCUUAAUACUUGAGAAUUGAUUCGGUACUGAUAUCAACUAAGUUCGUGCCUUCAAGGCCGGUUAUGACAUUUUAGUGAAUUCAUAUUGAUCCAUGUUUGGAAAUUUACAAUUAAAGUUUAUAUGUUUCAUUGCUACUUGUUGUACUUCAUACAUGUCUACUUUAUGUAUUUUAUUAUUUGACCACUAGUAAGUGUCAAGUUGAUCCCUCGUCACUACUUCUUCGAGGUUAGACUAGAUACUUACUAGGUACGCGUCGAUUUACGUACUCACGCUACACUUCUGUACUGAUUGUACAGGUACGUACUUCCAGUGAUCACAUGGGCGCAUAGACGCAUUUCCACGGAGACUUAGUGGUAAGCUGCUUGCCUUGCUUUGAUCUGCAGCAUACAAAUACUCCCUCUACCUUAUUUAUUGCUUUUGUGUAUUUUAUUUCAGACAGUAGUUGUAGUAGUUUUGUAUAUUCCCUAGAUUGCUCAUGCACUUGUGACACCGGAUUUUGGGAGCUUCUAGUGGACUUUCACAGUUGUACUUGUUGUUACUAUCAUAUUACUUUAUGUACUAUUCGUACCCAUUAUUUUUGGUAAAGCCAGUGCAUAUGUUUCCACGAGUUUCAUGUUUAGUUCCUAUUUAAUUAAUGAAAAUUCUAAGUUUAAAGGCUAAAUGAGAUAAUUAAAUUGAAGGUUCACCAUUGGCUUACCUAACCACAUCGUUGGGCGCCAUCGCAAUCUAUUAUGGGAUUUGGGUCAUGACAGUUUUAGUAUCAGAGCACUAGGUUCACUUAGGUCUCACGAGUGAUGAGUAGGCCUAGUAGAGUCUUGCGGGUCGGUACGGAGGCGUUCGUACUUAUCUUCGAGAGGCUAUAGGGUAUUUGGACACUCCUCUUUCUUCAUAUCCUAUCGUGCAGGUGAUGUUGUGCUAAGUAUCUUUCUCUUAUUCUCUCACAGAUGGUGAGAACGCGCGCUACGGCAGUACCCGACAGCAGAUGGGUUGCUCCCAUAACUUCUGUUAGAGGAUGAGAACGUCCUACAGUUGCUCCAUAAGUACCACCAGUGGAUCCGGUGGAGGAUCCUAUGAAUGAGGACCAGGAUGAGGUACCUGCAGCUGAGCCGGCCGCAACGGCUUUCAUGACCGCACCGGGCUUUCAAGAGGUCAUGGGCCGUAUGCUGCAGUUCAUGGAUUCUAUGACCCAGACUAAGUUAUUUCCAGCAGAUCCAGCCAUAUCUCAGGCGGGUGGGGGAGCAGUGAUAAGUGGGGAUUUUGACUACCUAUUAGCGUCUUUUAACUUUUGUUUUAGUCUAAACGCAUUGAAUUAUACUCCCGGAAAUAAUAAAAUUAUAUAAAAUUACAGGAAUGCUGGAAGUUGGGCUCCCGAGAUGAAAUCCGACUCAAAGAGGAGUAGUCCAAGCACAAGGAAACAAAGGGCACAGAAGCACACAAUGUGCGGUCCGCAGAAGGAAUUAUGCGGCCGCAGAAGAAAUUACGGACCGCAUAAUUCCACUGAGGUCGCAAAUAAAGAGGGAAAAUUGAGUAGACAUUUGUGCAAAUUGCAGACCGCACAUGAAUUGUGCGGCCGCAAAAGCUGGGCUAGGAUUAAAGAUCAGAGAGUACGUAUAUUUCUAAGUCCCGAAUCUCUUUGAAUUGCGGACCGCACAAGAAUUAUGCGGCCGCAGAAUAAGUGCCUUGCGACCGCAGAAUAAGUGCCUUACGACCGCAAACCUAAUUUUGCGGACCACAUAAGAUUGGCUUGCGACCGCAUACCUAAUUGUGCGUACCGCAAAAGAUUGUCUCGCGGCCACAGUUCAGAAAUAUGCGGCUGUAAAACUUCACUUCCUAUCAAGACGAAGAAAUAUGCGGACCGCACGUGGAAUUGUGCGGUCGCAGAACCUUUCGAGGGGCAUUUUUGUCCGAAAUUUUCAGAGUUGUAUAAAUAGAAGAGUUUCACGAAAUUAGGUCAAGUUUGAACAUCAACAAUUACUGUAGCCGUUUUUCUUUGCCAUUUUUGGAAGUUUACUUAGCUUUGGUGUAUUUUACAAUAGAUUAAAUUAUUUUAAGCUAUCAUUAUGAGUUUAAUUAGUCAUUCUUCUUCAUUUUCUUCAAAUCAAAGUAUGAGUAGCUAGAUAUUUACUAGAGUUGUGACCCAACCCUAGUGUGUCAACUUUAUGGGUAUUUAAUUUAGUGUUUGUUUAUGAUUGAGUGUUUAUUAUUUAGCUUAGUUCAUGCUUUAAUAUGAGGAAUUAAUGGUUUUAAAUAUUAGUUCAUGCCUAUUUGACUUAGUCUCUUCUUGAGAAAAAGAGACAUGAUCUUGGAUAACUUGGCUAACAAGGAAUUGGGUCAAUUGAGAGAUUGAUUUACCUAGUCUAUGAUAACUUGGCUAACAAGAAAUUGGGUCAAUUGGGUCAAUUGAGUAGCUAGACUUGAGCUUUUAUCAACUGUUUUGUGUGAUACCCAUUUGGUCUUGAGAAAGCCAAAUUGGGCAAAACCACCCUCUGACCGAUAGGUAUUAAGUAGGUAAUUUAGAGUUGAUAGCUAUAAUACACCCCACUCAACAGAACAAGCAUUAAAGUCUUUUUCCUAUUAGGCAAAUACCUAGGUAAUGGCCACAUCCCUAGGUUUUUUUAUCAAUUUAGAAAACCCCCCAAAAUAGUUAUCUCUAGUUUUCUUUAGAUAUUUUGCAAUCAAUAGAGUAAAAAUUAGAAAUAGAAAACCAAUCUUUUUGUGGAAGUGCAAUCUGGAUAAUUCAAUCACGCACAUUGAAAUAUAUACCCCCUAACUCCCAUCUUAGCUCCCUAUGGAUUCGACCCCGACUCUUAGUUAGUUGAGUUUCUAUAAUUGCAAAUGACUGUUUCAUACUUCUUUUGAGGUGUGCAAUUGGACGAGAUCAAUUUUUGGCAUCGUUACCAGGGAGUUAAAAACGGUGUUAGCUAUAUAUUUGGGUGUGUUUUUAUAAUAUCUUCUUUUCCUUUCGUGUUACUAACUUGUUUAAGAAAUCGCAGGUACAACCAUGGGAAACAAUGAGCUCAAAAAUAUUGCUUUGGUAAUGUGGACAUUGAGGAUGACCAAGUGGAUGAGGUUCCUCUUGAACCUCAAGCCAAUAGAAUAGGCCGAGUGCCUCAUGACAAUGUGCUCGUUCCACCCCCACCUCCACCACUAGCGUCUCCACACCGGAUGUUAUCCAAUGAAGGAUAUGCAAGUGCAAUAGUCUCUCCCCGUAUUAGGGCGGACAACUUUCAAAUCACCAACGUGAUGAUCACUUUGCUAGAGCAACGAGGUUUCUUCACCGGUGCUCCAAUUCAAAAUACAUACAAACAUUUGAAGUGGUUUGUGGAAACUUGUUGGGGGAGCAAACAAACAAAUGUCUCUGAUGAUGCAUUUAGGCUAAGGCUUUUUCCCUUCUCUCUAUGGGGGAAAGCUUUAGAUUGGUUUGAACGUUUGCCGAACCAUUCCAUUCACACUUAGGAUAAGUCGGCGGAAAAGUUUAUUUCUAAGUUCUUCUCUCCGGGGUACAUGGCUACACUUCGGGAUGAGAUUUUUACAUUUAAGCAAGAGCCAAAUGAACCACUACACGAGAUAUGGAAAUGCUAUCAUACAAUGGUUAAGGAAUGUCCUAACAACGAGAUGACGGAGAACAUGAUUCAACAAACUUUAUAUCGUGAGAUCAACACAACUAACCAAUGUAUAGUGAAUCAACUUGCCGGUGGGAAUUUCAUAACUACGCCUUAUGCGGAGGCGUGUGAGAUUUUAGAUGAAAUGGCGGAAACAUCAUCGGCAUGGCAAUCUCGGGCUAAUGUUCCAUAAGGUGAUCCCAAUACGAUCCACCUUCACAAAGAGUUGCAUGACCAUGGGCAAGUCGUUGCCGAAUUAACCACCACCAUGAAUUAACUAGCAAAGGCUCAACUUCAACAAGUGAAACAUCCUAAGCAAGUCAAUGCCAUAGAGGGAGUGAACAUGAUGAUGAACAAAAGAAGAACAAAGGGUCCACAAGUGAAACAUCGGGUGGUUAAUUUUGUGCAAGAGGAUAGUAGUUUUGAUCAAGAUGACUCUUACAAUGACCAAGAAGAGGAGGUACAAUAUGUGGACAACUUUCAAGGGCAACGAAAUAAUUUCCAAGGCCCAAACCAACAACAAUGGCGACCUCAAAACAAUCAAGGAAAUUAGAAUUCUAACAACCAAGGAAAUUGGAAUGGUGGAAAUAAUCAAGGGAAUUGGAAUAACAAUAAUCAAGAAAAUUGGGGGGGGGGGGUAACAAUCAAGGCGGAUGGAACAAUAAUCAAGGCAAUCGGGGGUCGGAUUUUCAAAGGCCCCCGAUGCAUCAACAACCGAACAACUCACCUCCUUAUCCUUCCCAUGGUCCUAGUUAUUCAACCAAUGAGAUGGGGCGUAUUGAGAACAUGUUCAAGCAAAUGAUGGAAAAGAAUGCCGAUUCGGAUGCCCAACUUGCCUCACACAACACAUCGAUCCGCAACUUAGAAGUUCAAAUGUGGUAAAUCUUUCAAGCUCUAAAUUCUCGUCCUAAGGGGGCACUACCAAGUGAAACGGUGGUGAACCCAAAGGGUGGGAACAACACGCGGACUUCCAUGGUCAUUACUACAAGAAGUGGAAAAGGUGAGAAUGCACCCACCUCAAGUCAAAGGCAACUUGUGGAUGAUGAGCAAGUGGUACAAGGAGAAGAGGUCCCGAACAAUGUAGUGCAAACAAAUGAUGAAGUUCGGAUUAAUAUUGAUGAUAGUGUGGAAGAGACUCAAUAGGAGAUGGACCCGUCUAGGGAUCACGCUAUUGACAUACCGGAAUCGAUAGUGCAAAAGGCUAAGGCAUCAUUGCCUAAGCCUCUACCUCCAUAUCCUCAAAGACUUGCCAAACAAAAUGGUGAGAAUCAAUUCAAAAAGCUCAUUCAAAUGAUGAAUAAUCUCUCAAUUAAUGUGCCAUUAGUUGAAGCUUUGGAACAAAUGCCCGGUUAUGCAAAGUUUAUGAAGGAUCUUGUGAAAAAGAAGCCGUCAGUAAAUUUUGAAACUAUCAAGGUCACUCAUCAAGUGAGUGCAAUUGUGCACUCAAUGGCUCUUAAAUUGGAAGAUCCUGGCGCUUUCACAAUUCCUUGUAUAAUUGGAAGUGUCGAGUUUGCUAAAGCUCUUUGUGAUCUUGGGGAAAGUAUCAAUUUGAUGCUAUAUUUGAUUUUCAAGACCCUGGGAAUUGGGCAACCAAGACCCACCUCUAUGAUAUUGCAUAUGGCCGAUCAUACCAUGAAGUGACCUUUGGGAGUGAUUGAAGAUGUCUUGGUUUAUGUUGAUAAAUUCAUUCUUCUGGCGGAUUUUGUCAUUCUAGAUUGUGAAGUUGAUUAUAAGGUGUAGAUUAUUCUUGGAAUACCUUUCCUUGCUACGGGGAAGGCUCUUUGUUAUGUUGAAGCCGGUGAACUCACCUUCCGAGUGAGUGAUGAAAAAGUGAUUUUCCAUGUGUGUAAAUCCAUGCGGCAACCAAAUAGCAAUGAGGUGUAUUCUUUUAUUGACUCGGUGUCCAAUGUUAUUGUUGAUGAUACAAGUGCCACNNNNNNNNNNNNNNNNNNNNNNNNNUUCAACUUGCUGAAAUGACCCUUAACUUUUGGAGGUGGAAAUUAAUUUACUUUCUUGAGGACAAGCAAAGACUUAAGUUUGGGGGAGUUGAUAAGUGGAAAUUUUGACUACUUAUUAGCGCCUUUUAACUUUUGUUUUGGUCUAAAAUCAUUGAAUUAUGCUCUCGGGACUAAUAAAAUUGUACAAAAUCGCAGAAAUGCUGGAAGUUGGGCUCCCGAGAUGAAAUUUGACUCAAACAGGAGUAGUCCAAGCACAAGGAAACAAAGGGCACAGAAGCAUACAAUGUGCAGUCCACAAAAGGAAUUCUGCGGCCGCAGAAGAAAUUGUGGACCACAAAAUUCCACCCGCAACCGCAAACAAAGAAGGAAAACUUAGCAGAUAUUUGUGCAAAUUGUGGACCGCACAUGAAUUGUGCGGUCGCAAAAGCUGGGCUAGGAUUCAAGAUCAGAGAGUAUGCAAAUUUCCAAGUCCUGAGUCUCUGUGAAUUGCGGACCGCACAAGAAUUGUGCGGCCGCAGACCUACUUAUAUGGACCGCAGAAGAUUGGUUUGCGACCGCAGACCUAAUUGUGCGGACCACAGAAGAUUGCCUCGUGGCCGCAGUUUAAAAAUGUGCGGCUGCAGAACUCCACUUCCUGUCAAGAUGAAGAAAUCUGCGGAUUGCACGUGGAAUUGUGCGGUCGCAGAACCUCCAAGGGGGGCAUUUUUAUCCGAAAUUUUUAGACUUGUAUAAAUUGAAGAGUUUCACGAAAUUAGGUCAAGUUUGAACAUCAACAAUUACUGUAGUCGUUUUUCUUUACCAUUUUCGGAAGUUUACUUAGCUUUGGUGUAUUUUACAAUAGAUUAAAUAAUUUUAAGCUAUCAUUAUGAGUUUAAUUAGUCAUUCUUCUUCAUUUUCUUCAAAUCAAAGUAUGAGUAGCUAGAUAUUUACUAGGGUUAUGACCCAACCCUAGUGUGUCAACCUUAUGGAUAUUUAAUUUAGUACUUGUUUAUGAUUGGGUGUUUAUUAUUUAGCUUAGUUCACGCUUUAAUUUGAGGAAUUGAUGGUUGCAAACAUUAGUUCAUGCCUAUUUGACUUAGUCUUCUCUUGAGAAAGAGAGACAUAAUCUAGGAUAAUUUGGCUAACAAGGAAUUAGGUCAAUUGAGAGAUUGAUUUACCCAAUUAAAAGGUUCAACCUAGAGAUAGUAAUAACCCGACUUGAGCUUUUAUCAAAUGUUUUGUGUGAUACCCAUUUGGUCUUGAGAAAGCCAAAUUGGGCAAAAUCACUCUUUGACCGAGAGGUAUUGAGUGGGUAAUUUAGAGUUGAUAGCUAUAAUACACCCCAGUCAACAGAACAAACAUUAAAGUCUUUUUCCCAUUAGGCAAACACCUAGGUAAUGAUCACAACCCUAGACUUUUUAUCAAUUUGGAAAAAAACCAAAAAAUAGUUAUCUCUAGUUUUCUUUCGAUAUUUUGUAAUCAAUAGAGUAAAAAUUAGAAAUAGAAAACCAAUCUUUUUGUGGAAGUGCAACCUCGAUAAUUUAAUCACGCACAUUGAAAUAUAUACCCCCUAACUCCCAUCUUAGCUCUUUGUUGAUUUGACCUCGACUCUUAGUUGGGUUUCUAUAAUUGCUAACGAUCGUUUCAUACUUCUUUUGAGGUAUGCAAUUGGACGCGAUCAAGCAGAGACCCCUACCACUCUUGCUCUAGGGCAUGCUGUUGCCGUUUAUCAGACCUCAGGUGCACUAUCUACAGGUGGGGCUCAACUGGUUGCUGCAGUUAGACCAGAGACCGGAUCGAUUGCAACCGUUGAGGAGCAGAAGCGGUUGGACAGGUGGACUAGGAUUCAUCCUCCAGUCUUUGGUGGUGAAUGGUCACAAGACCCACAAAAUUUCAUUGACUGUUGCAAGGAGAGGCUGCGUAAUAUGGGAGUAUUGAAGUCCAACGAGGUGGACUUUACCACCUUUCAUCUAGAGAGCAAGACCCACAAAUGGUGGCAGACAUACCUCCUAAGAAGGACAACAUGUUCAUCUUCCUUGACUUGGGACCAGUUCACACAUCUUUUCUUGGAGAAAUAUAUUCUACCUUCAGAGAGAGAAGAGCUUUAGGGUCAGUUCGAGUGGCUCCGACAGGGUCAUAUGUCUGUGGCUGACUAUGAGGCGAUAUUCACUGACAUGUCUCGUCAUGUGGCUAGUAUAAUCCCCACGGAUGCAGAGAGGGUGCAGAGGUUUAUUUUAGGUCUGCACCCUAAGAUUUAGGUUUCUAUGGCCCGCGAGGCCGAGAUGGGAACUUUAUUCCUAAAGGUUUUGGAUAUAGCUCGGAGGAUCGAGCGUAUCCGCAACCACAUCAGAGAGUUUGUACCGAGGAUAAGAGUUCUCGGCAUUUUGGCGGAUUUUGUGGCACCCUGUCUGGGGGCGGGGUUCAGUUCAUGAGGGGCCAGUCUAGCAGUUAUGACUGGGACUGGGGCUAUAAUAUAAUAUUGACCAUGUAUAUUUGAUUUCCUUAAUUUAUGACUCAGACUGAGGCUAGAAUAAAAUAUUGACUGAUUCUCUUACGUUGGAAAUUGUGGAAUAUUUGAUUAACAGUAGAUCUUUGUCUUCCCAAUUCGUAUGUAUUUUCGCGAGUGAGAUAAUUUCUUUAUUCUAAUGGGAUUGGGCCGUUCGUCGCGAUAGUGUUGUAAAUAAUUCUAAUAGGAUCAGACUAUUUGCCUCGACAGUGUUAUAAAUUACUCUUAUGGGAUCGAGUCAUUCGCCCCGACAAUAUGGUAACACUACUCUUACCGGAUCAGGUCGUUUGCCUCGGCAAUACUGUGUAUCGCUAUUCCUAUGGGAUUAGGUCGUUCGCCUCGGCAGACUCGUGCCUAAUACUUGAGGUUUGAUUUGGUAUUGAUAUCAGUUGAGUUCGUGCCUAGGCCGGUUAUGACAUUUUGGUGAUUUCAUAUUGAUCCAUGUUUGGACAUUUACUAUUAAAGUUUAUUUGUUUCGUUGCUACUUGUUGUACUUCAUACAUGUCUACUUUAUGUAUUUUAUUAUUUGACCACUGGUAAGUGUCAAGUCGAUCCCUCGUCACUGCUUCUUCGAGGUUAGACUAGAUACUUACUAGGUACGCAUUGAUUUACAUACCCACGCUACACAUAUGUACUGAUUGUGCAUGUACGGAGACAGGUACUUCCAGUGGUCGCGCUCGCAUUUCCACGAAAACUUAGUGGUGAACUGCUUGCCUUGCUUCGAUCUGCAGCAUACGAAUUCUCCCUCUACCUUAUUUAUUGUUUCUGUCUAUUUUAUUUUAGACAGUAGUUGUAGUAAUUUUAUAUAUUCUCUAGAUUACUCAUGCACUUGUGACAUCGGGUUUUGGGGGCUUCUAGUAGACUUUCACAGUUGUACUUGUUGUUACUAUCAUAUUACUUUAUGUACUAUUCGUACCCGUUAUUUUUGGUAAAGUAGUGCAUAUGUUUCCAUGAGUUUCAUGUUAAGUUCCUAUUUAAUUAAUGAAAAUUUUAAGUUUAAAAGCUAAAUGGGAUAAUUAAAUUGGAAUCACAUCAUUGGGCGCCAUUAUGACCUAUUAUGGGAUUUGGGUCGUGACAAAACAACACGAUGUCAUAGUCUAUAAUGAAAUUAGAGAAGGAUUCUUGUUCAUAUGGGCAAACAAUUAUAAGAAAACUAAACAAUUUGCCAAUUAAGCCCAAACUACUUAAAGUACCUUAAAGAAAGCUUCCCAAAUCCGAUUUUUUUUUUUUGUGUAUUUGAAGACCCACCAUUAUUGAGCUUGAAGCUCUUGAAUCUGAAAUUUCAUUUUAAAGAUCUAUUGUUUGAUUUAAGGUGGGUAUUAUAAAAUAUUGCUUAUAGUACCUUUGAUAAGUUCAUACUUAAAUUUAGUCGCAUUUGGAGAUAAUUUGAGGUGAUUGAGAGCGAAUAUUUUAGCUGAAAAUCAAAGAAGAAUCAAGUAAUCCAACAAUAUAUGUCUACGAUAUACAAUAUACUAUAAUAGUAUAUAGCUAUACUACAACAAUAUACUAUGAUAGUAUACAAUAUUUUGCAAAGGUAUAUUGUAAUAAUGUGCAAUAUUCUGCAAUAGUAUACUGUAAUGGUAUAUAAAAUACUACAAUCAAUGGCGGAGCUACAGUGCUCCAAGGGUGGUCAGGCGAACACGUUUCGCAAAAAUAUUACACUAUGUAUAUAAGUAAAAUGAUGUUAUAUUUUAAUAUGGAUAAUAGCAUGCAUACCCUUGAUACAACUAGGUGAAGUAGCCUAGUGCAAAAUGUACUAUUGAUCCUAUGUUCGAAUCUCAAUGCAAGCAUGUUUACAGCACAUUUAUUAUAUAAUAUCAUUUUUCAAGAAACAUUAUAUAACUUUCAGAUCCAUCGUUCUUUUUCAAAAGUAGAGUAGAAGUGUGUUUUGUACCCAAAUCUCAACCAACUUUUGACUUUAUUUUUCUUUUCUAAUUUUUUAAUAAACAAAUAUUAAAAGUCAUUAUUUAAUUAAAAUCUAUUUAAUAAAAAAUCCUAAAAUCUCUCUGCAAGACCUAAACCUAACUUUGUCAACAUAGAAAAAGGGGAAACAAUGAGUAGAAACAAAAGAUCCUCAUUUUCUUCUCUCCAUGCUAGCAUGUUGCGUUAACAUUGUCGGAUGUCAGUGAAACCGUAAAAACUUGCACUCUAACCUCUGAAUCUGCUUCAAUUUCAGGUUAUAUCUCUUCUGCCUUUCUCUCUUUUUUUUCUUUAUUUUGGCUCAAUUUGUGAACUGAAUUUUAUUGUUUGAGUCUUUAGAGAUUAAAAUUUUGCUAAAUAUUUCUAAAUCUUUGAAAUGAUUUAUAACUAGAAUAAAAUAAUUGAUACUUAGAUAACCCGACUCAUAAUUCCUAAACAUAUAUUUAUUCUUUAAAUAAGAAAAUAAGAAAAAAUAAAUAGGUGGAUGUGUAUACAAAUUUGGGACAUAGUUUGAAUUUUCAGAUUUUGAUUUUCAAGUUUAGUUUUUUUGACUUGUAUAGUGUUACAGUGAGUACUUAAAGUGCUUUUUAAUAGAUGUUCUUCCUAUUUCUAAUAAGUGUGACGUACUUGACUAUUAUUUCAGUUUAAUUUAAAGUUUUAAUGGACUUGAAAAUUUUGUUUUAGCAAAGUAUCAAAAACAAGUUUGACAUCUCAAAAUCAACCUAAUCGAGAAGAAACUAUAGACAAAUCAUAAAUAUUGUUGCAUUCUGCUAAGAGAUAAAAACUUAAUUUAAAUGCUCUAAAUCGUGCUCCAGCUGAAAGAACUCCAAUUUUGAAUUAUCAUCCAAACCAUCGUGAUGAAAUAAGGACGGAAUACCUUGAAAUUGAUCCUUUUCAACUUUGAAAUCAUGGCUUCCCUCAAUUUGACUUUUCAUGAUCAAAGCGUUGUUUUGUUUCUAAAUGGUUUUAUGAUUAUGGUGACUGGUUGGAGUAUAGUGUGAGUACAGAUGCAACAUAUUAUUUACCUUAUUAUUUAUUUAAAGGUGAUAAUAUUCAUCAAAGUGGAUGUGAUAUAUUUUUAAGUAAAGGAUUUUAGAAAUUGGCAUAAGAUCAAAGACAACUUCUCAAAAUAUAUUGGUGGGCCGAGUAGUGUUCAUAAUCAAGCAAAAAGAAUUAUGAAGAUCUAAUGCAACAAUAAUAGUCCAGUCAUGCUGCAUUUGACAAGCAAUCUGAUAAAAUGAAACAUAAAUAUUGGUUUCCCUUAAAUGCUUCAAUUGAUGUGGUAAGACUUCUCUUGAAUCAAGGAAUGACGCUCCGUGGUCACGAUAAAAGUGAAUCGUCAUUGAACAGGGGUAACUUUCUUGAAGUUCUUUCAUGAUACCGAGAUAGAUGUGAAAAGAUUAAGACUUUUGUGUUGUAAAAUGCUCCAAAAAUAAUAAAAUAACUUCUCCAUACAUUCAAAAAGAAAUUGUGACCGCAUGUAAGAUAGAAAUAAUUAAGGCUAUAAUAGAGAAUCUAAAUGGUGAUUACUUUUCUCUACUAGUUUAUGAAUCUUCUGACGUGUCACGAAAAAAUCAAAUGGCUAUUGUUUUAAGAUAUGUUGAUAGAAAAGGAAAAGCAUUUAUUGAACUUGUUCAUGUUCCUGGUACUAGUGUUUUAUCUCUGAAGAAAGCAAAUUUUUACGUACUUGCUCAUUAUUCAUUAAGUUUAUCUUCUGUACGCGGACAAUGCUAUGACGAGGCAAGAAAUAUGCAAGGUGAUAUCAAUGGUCUUAAAAUAUUGAUUAAACAAUAAAGUGGAUUGGCUCAUUCUAUUUAUUGUUUUUCCCACCAACUUCAAUUAACUUUUGUGGUGGUUUCAAAAAUGUGUGUUCAAGUGGGAGAACUUGUGUUAUUAGUUUCAAAUAUUCUGAAUGUAUUGGAAGCUUCUUUUAAAUGUAUGGAUGAACUUCGAGAAUCUCAACAAGAAAAACUCCAAGCGAUAUUAGAUAUGGGUGAGCUAGAAACAAGCAGAGGCCCGAAUCAAGAGUUUGGUCUUAUUAGAGCCGGUGAUACUCGUUGGGGAUCUUACUAUAAGCCGUUUAAAAAUUGUAUACUUUUGUUUGACUCUAUUAUUGAUGUACUUAAUACUCUUGUUGAAAAUGCAAAUACUUUAGAUGGAAGAGCUAAGUAGCAGGAUAUCUUAGAAGAUUUCAGACGUUUAAGGUUGCUUUCAUAUUGCAUUUUAUGGAAGAUAUUUUAAGAAUCACAUAUGAUCUUAACAUAUCGCUCCAGAAAAAGAAGCAGGAUAUUGCUAAUGCCAUGAUACUUGUUGAAGUAGCAAAAAAAAAAAAGCUUCAAAAGUUAAGAGCUAGUGGAUGGGAUCCACUUAAAGAUAAGGUAUCUACGUUUUGUAUCAAGCAUGAUAUUCUGAUAUCCAAUUUUGAUGAGCCAUAUGCUAAAUCUGGAAUAUCACGACGUAAACUUGUUGAUCAUACAACUUUACAUUUGUUACACCCCACAUUUUCGUAUAUGAAAUCACGCCAUAAAUAAAUUGAUGAGAGCUCGGAAAUAAGAUGUUACAUCCCGUAUUCUUUUUGUACGCCAAUAUUUCGUCGUAAGUUAAUCGACGUAAGCUCGAGAACGAGAUUAUUUUGGGAUUAUAAGUAUUAUGCUAUUUCAAACAAGUGAUGAGAAUAUUCAUGAAGGAGAGAGGGUAAGCAAAUCGAAAAAAAAUGAAAUUCCUCGAAAUUUGACAAUUUGGGAUAAAAUACGAUCCGAGAUAUAAUACCCAGUAUUUAUAGACUAGUGCCAUACAAGAUACCAUAUGAUCAUGAUAGUAUGAUAUAUAAAGUGUAUUAAAAAGGAGUAGUAUUUUAGAUAAUUUGAUAUAAUUCUUAAUUAUGUGGAUAAUUGAUUAAUUAUUGAUUAAUUAUUGAUUAACUAAUUAAUUAAGAAUUAGUGGGUGAUUAAUUAAGGCUUUUAGAUAAAGCCAAUAACGUGGGAAGCUUUAAUUAAGCCCAAGGUGGCUAACUAUUUGGGAGGCUAGGUGGCAGCAUGUGGGAAGCUUUAAUUAAAGCCUAAGGUAACUAACUAUUUGUGAGGCUAGGUGGCACUUAGAGGGAAUCUUGACUAAAGCCAUAAAAGACUCAAUUCACAAAAAUAUGGAGAAGGCAACAUGAGUACUUCAACAAAAACCAUGAAAUACCUCUCUGAUUCAACAAAAAUCGUGAGAUUUGGAUAAAAUUCACAAAAGAGAGAUAUUUAUCUUCAUAGUAACGUAACUAGCUUCAGCAAGAGAUUCAUACGAAACUUCUUAGCAUUACUAAUAGUAAUGGGAUUUUGCGAUUCUAGGGAGUACGGUGCAAUCUUUUUCAAGAAUAUCAUACGGAUUUUUCCUUACUCCAGGUAUAUUAAGGCUAUCCUUUCUUUCCUUUUGGCAUUAUCUAUACGAAACGAGCAAAUACAUAAUUUUCAUAAAUGACUCUAUUCAUAAAAAUAUUAGGGGUGUCUAUAUUCUUGAUUCCCCAUGUGAAUUAUUACUAUAUCUUCAGUUCAUGGGUCUCAGACAAAUACGUAUUUGAUAAAAUUUAUCCGACAGGCAUAUUAUUUUAAUGACAUUCCGAAAAAAUCUUAUUAACGUAUUUCUUAAGGCAUAUUAUUUUUAUGAUAUUCUGAGAAAAUAUUAUUAAUGUAUUAUACAUAUACAUUGACCCAUGACCAGAUGGCGUUAUAUACGCAUAUAUAUGUAUAUUAUAUGUAUAUGGAAUAUGGGAAAAGGUUACAACGUUAUAUACGCAUCACCACCUGAUCAGCUGGUAUACGUUGAUGAUUUGCCCAUAGUGACCGAGAUGAUAUGAUGGGAUGCUCUCAGAAGCUUGAUGAUGUUAUGAACACAUAUACCUAUGCAUGGUAUGACAUUCAUACGCACAUGCAUGACGAUAUAAAAAAAUAAAAUGAUUCACAGAGUUAUGCAGGCGUACAUGUCGAGUCUUUUACUCCAUGUUUUUUUCAUAUCUAUUAUUUACUGAUUAUCAUUCCUUACAUACUCGGUACAUUAUUUGUAUUGACGUCCCUUUUGCCUAGGGACGCUGCGUUUCAUGCCCGCAGGUCUCGAUAGACAGGUCGAGAGUCCUCCAAGUAGGCGAUCAGCUCAGCAGAAGAUAUUGGUGCACUCCAUUUGCUCCGGAGUUGCUUGUUUGGUCAGUAUAAUUUAGAUGUGUAUGGUUUAGUAUGGCGGAACUCUGUCCCGACCUUUAUGACAAUUAUGUACUCUUAGAAGCUUGUAGACAUAUGUCGUGUAAGUGAAAGAUUGUACAACCUUGUCGACCUAUGUUUUAAAUUUAUAAAUGAUCAUGUUGGUCUAUUAGGCCCAUAUGUCACGUGUAUAUGAUGAAGUAAUAAGAAAUAUACGUUACGUUGGUACUCGGUUGAGUAAGGUACCGGGUGUCCAUCGCGGCCCAUCGGUUUGGGUUGUGACAACAUUAUUAUCGUGUGGAUGUGUUUUAUAAGAUUAUUGAUUAGCAGCUUCAAGAACUUAACAACCGUUUCAAUGAGGUAACAAGUAAUUUGUUUCAUAGAUUAGCUUGCCUGAAUCCAGUUGAUUCAUUUUAUAGUUUUGACAUCAGAAAGAUAGUUAGAAUGGUUAAAUCAUAUCCUGAUGACUUUGAUGAAUUUAAAUUGGGUGUCCUUGAGAAUCAACUUGCUAAUAUAUUGCUUAUGUACGUGGUAUUGAUCAAAUGUUCUCCAAUUUAGGUGAACUUGGUGAACUUUCAAAAAAGCUAGUUGAGAAAAAGAAGAAUAUUACUUAUCCUCUUGUAUUUUGCUUAGUGAAACUUGCUUUGCUUCUUUUAGUUGCCACUGCAACCGUUGAAAAAACUUUUUCUGCAAUGAAGUUUAUCAAGAAUGACUUGCGGAAUCGAAUGGAUGAUGAAUUUUUAGACGGUUGAGUAGUGCCUUACGUAGAAAAAAAAUUAUUUCGUACUAUUUCUAUUGAGUCUGUUAUAAAAAUAUUUCAAGAGAUGAGACCUCGUAGAGUACAAUUAUAAUAAUAUAUUUGAAUUGUUCUUUCACUAGUUGAUUCCUUUAUAUUGAUUCUAAUUUAUACAUAGGUUAAUUCUGUUAAUGUGUUUAUGAUUUAGCUAAAUAUUGUAUAAUUUAUUUUAAAAAAUUUUGGUGCACCCAUUUUUCGAAAAAAAAUUUAUUUACUUAUCCAAAGGUAGAAAUGCGCGUAAAAUAGAUCCUUGUGAUUCGAUCCUUUUUCAGACUUUACGUAUAGCUGAAACUUAGUGCACCAGACUGCCUUAUUUUAAGAAAAAAUUACGCUCAAAUACAAUUGACACAAUGAUGCUACCAAAAUUGGCCCGUAUUUUUAAAUGCUACCAAAACUAGCCCACAUUGUAUAUGUAAAAAUUAUUUCACUCUUUAACCCUAGUUGCUAACAAGAAAAAACAAAAGAUAAAAAGACUUUCACUCUUUUACCUCUUCUUCUUCGCUGCCCCCUCACUCUUUCCAUCAUUUCUCCACCACAACUCCUUAUCUUUUCAUUUCCGUCACUCCCUAUUCCUAUCUUCUCUGCCACACCUCACCAGUUGUAUCCCUUGAAUUUGGAUUGUAGUUUUAGAUCUAAAAACGCCAUUUUCGUCAAAGCUCAAAGCUCCAUGAUUAUUCAGGGAUAUCCCUGUGCAUUAAACACGACUGUGUGAAGAAUUUUGGACGGAAAAUUUUCGAGUCUACUGAUGGGUUAUCUAAAAAAUCGACUCGAAUGUUUUGAAUUUUUUAAUUCGAAUAACAUUGUGAAUUCGUGAGGCAAAUUUUUUGGUGUUAAAAUAGAGGUAUGGUGAUGGACAUAAGGUGUUUUCUAGUGUAAAUUUUCUAUAACUGGUAUUUAUAUACACUUAUACAAUAUUGUAUAAUUAUGUAUAAUUGUGUAUUGAUAUGUAUAAGUAUGUAUAUUUGUGUAUUAUGUUAUAUAACUAUAAUUUUUUCAGUGUACAAGGAUGUCUAUAUAUAUUGUUAGUUAAUAAAUGGCCUCCAAUGGAAGUUUGAUACUUUCUUCUCUUCUUCUUCUAGUUUUUCUUAUAUACAUUAGUAUUAUAUAUUCAUAUACAAGUUUAUACAAAGUUAUAUAUCAUUAUACAUAAUAUACGGCACAUGUACAAUUAAAACUAAAAUUAAAAUGUUUGUGUUAUUUCUUACUUUUUCUCGAAAAAUCUUUGUAUAAAAUCGAUUUCUUUGUUGAUUUUUCUGCCAAAUCACAAACUUGCCACAAAUCUUUUCGAGUUUUCCUCAAGAAUUGUAGAUGUUUCUACUGCUUCCAUUUCUACACAAUUUUUUAUUAAGAAAUACAAGUUCAAAUAUAAAAGUCCCCUACGUAUUUUCAGAAAGUAAAUGCCACCAUUGAAGUUGAUUGUUUCAAUUGGAAUCUGUGCGAAGCCCGGGAAUUUAUGAAGAAGGAAUAAUAAUAGUAGUUGGUGGUGUACAAAAAGCUUUUUUCGGACCUUGGCCUAUUAUUUUUUGGCUAUAAAUUUGUAAAUUUGUGAUUGGGCUACCUAAAUGUAUAUGUAAUUCUCUCUUUUUUAAAUCCAAAGGUUAACACCCUCUACAAUAAUAUACUCCGACUGCUAUUUAUUGAAUUAUCUGGUUAAUUGUACAAAACUAAAAUCAUGGUUAUAAUCCGGACGUAGUUGAUGAUAAUUAAAGAAAAAUAAAAUUUGUCCACCAUUGAAGAGGCUUUGAAGCUUGGGUUUGGGAAUAGAAAGCUCAAUAUAGUUGUUUGGAUUUUGAUUUGGACGAGUAUUAUUAAAAUUUGUUGUAAAUGCUUGUAAGAAUUAGAAGCUGAAGUUUAAGAUCAUUUCAAACUGAUGUGAUGUGGUUUUGGUAGCUUCUUGAGCGUGUUUCAACUUUAACAGGUUAGCAGCCUUAGGGGUCGUUUGGUACGCGAAUUAACUUAGAAUGAGGUGGAAUAAUAUAAUCCCAAGUUUAAUGGGAUAAGGUGAGAUAUCCUAUAUUAAGAUUGGGAUUAAAUUUAUACCAUGUUUGGUUAACGGUAUAAAUUUAUAAUACUGCCAACCAAACAUGAUAUAAAUUUAAUUUCACACCUUAUCCCACCUUAUCUUGCGUACCAAACGACCCCUUAGGACCUUGUUUGGUGCAACUUUCAGCCUUUUAAAGCUUAAAAUAUGUAAUUAUUAUAAAUAUUUAAUGGAUAGAAUUCUUAAUAGGUAGAUCAAAAUAAUUAUUUUGAUUCCUAUAAGUAUUCUUGAUUUUAUCCCUUUGAAUUAUUUAUAUUGGGCUGGAACUCAUGCUCAAAAGUAAUCACCGUCGAAGUCCACGUAGAAAUACAAAUGAUAGUAAAUUAGGAAUUAACUUCAAAGAGAAUCUCGCAAUAAGAGGAUAGAAAAGGGCAGCCCGGUGCACUGAGCUCCUACUAUGCGCGAGGUCCGGGGAAGGGCCGGACCACAAAGAUCUAUUGUACGCAACAUUACCCUGCAUUUUUGCAAGAUGUUGUUUUCACGGCUCGAACCCGUGACCUCCUAGUCACAUGGCAACAACUUACCAGUUACGCCAAGCCUCCCCUUCAAAGUGGAUAGGCUGCCUGCCAAAAUUGUUAGAAGCAAUAUAAUUGAUACUCAUGAAGAAAUUAAGCAAUAAUGUAAUUCAAACUUAUUCUCUGAGAAAAGAAGGAUUAUUUACUCAAUGUAAGUGAAAAAGACAGAGAAAAUAGAUAGAUAAAAAUGGCUGUCCUCAGGUUAUAAAAAACUUUCUACUUGUAUUCAAUGUGGUCUUUGCACCUAACAUUUUUUUCUUCAACAUAAUAGUAAUAUUGGAAGACUAAAAGGUAUAUUAAUGGGGCAGGAGUAUUUACGUUAAUUCAAGACUCGUGUAUCAUUAAAAUUCCUUGUCGCACUUUUAAAAUGAAAAAAGUUUCUUCCCUUCCAUCGGAAUGCAGUUCUCAGAGAGGUGUUUGGUAUGAUAAUCUUGAGAGUGAUAAUACAUGGUGUUGGUAUUCCCCUUGGUGUUGGAUAUCGUAAGUUCAUACACUCACUCUUAAACACCCAACCCAAGAAAAACAUGUUUAAGAUAAAUUGUUAGUACGAUGAACUCAGAUAUCAAACUAGCAGAUAAUGGUGAUCUCCCUACUUAGGAUUUGGGCAAAGAAUAAUUAGAGCUUAAAUAUGAACCCACCAUUGGACGUCACCUAUUUUAACAAAUAACAUAUCUUCAACAAACGAAUUGUACAAGACAUUUACUUGUUGGUUUGUAGAUGAAAAUGUGUUUGGACAUCAGUUUUCAAAACAUAUUUAAUAUGAAACAUAACUUAUACUAACAAGUUCUAAAAACUAUCACAAAUACCCAACAAUACCAUUAUCAAGAACAUUCAUUAUAUUAUCGCAAAUCAUAGUUCUGAACAUAAAUAAAUUUGAUACAAAAUUAUCAUUUUUAUAAUAAAUUACAUGAUACACUAUCAGGUGACCGAGAAGACGAAGCAACAUUGUUACAAAAUAAUAAAUGGUGGGCUAUUUUAUAAAAUAUAAAAGUUUAGAGUAAUUUUUAAAAAAUAUAAUAGUGAUAUUUUGGCCAAAAACCAGCUAUGGGAUUUGGGAUUUUACAAAAAUAUAGGCAAAAUCUAUGGCCAAACAUGUGUUUGCCAAAUAAAAUCCAAAUUUAUUUUGGCAAAAUCUAUGGCCAAACAGGUACUUAAUCUUAAUUCACAGAAGGCAAAGAGUAGAAAAUUUUAAAAAGCUCAAAUUAAGUACUCUAGGCAACAUAAAUAGCAAAAAUCCUGAGCUGCCGUAUAAAACCAAGGCACCUCCUCAACACAAUGAAGACAGACUCGAAGUCACGCUCACCACCGCCUGUCAAGUACCCAGUUCUGAGAACAGCUACCUGACAUACAAGGCAGAGAACCAGAACCUAAAAGCAAAGACAAAACUAUAACAGAACUAAAUAAAACAGAGUCUACAUAACACACUUGACGAUAAUAGAUAGCAUUUCACUUUUUCUUCUGGGCGGCCUUGGUGAAUUUUGAAUUAACAACUACUUGUGUGUGUCCUUUUUUGUUCAAUCAAGAAAAUGCAACUAUCUACAAAAAAAAAACUCUCAAUCCAACUGUGCCUCAGUAUGAGCAUUGUUCAACUAUCUUAUCCUCAAAGUUUUAAAAUUUUAUGACUAAGCAAGAAUUCGCCACGACUUAUAUUCUAGUAUACAAGUCUUUAUCACUUAAAACUGUUCUGUCAAAAACAAACUUCACGUAUUAUCACUAAAUAGUUCAACUUCCAGUAAAUUUUCUUAACCAAAAAAAUAAUUUUGUCCUUAGCAAAUUACUGAACAAAAUUCACUUUGUAAGCAACAACAAAAGAUAAACCCUACAAAGAAAAGAAAGACAGAACGAAACAUUAACUACUACUUCCUUUGACAAAGGUAACAAAACCUGGAAGUUUUGCCAAGGCGAAUGAUUAGGUAAUAAUCCAUCAGAGUAUGAGACGAUUCUACCGGGGAAAAAAGUCCAACAAAGUUGAAUCUACUGCAAAAACAAUUAUGAUUCUCCUAUGGAGAUUUAGGAGAAUCAUAAUAAGCUCACAAUCUUUAUACUAUAUCAGCAACAUUAAGAUAUAUAAGCUGCUGCUGCUAAAAAAAGACAGACACACGAAGGCCCUACUAUUAAAUAAGAUUGAGGAGAACAGACAAAAGUGACAUGUGAUAUAAAACUUGCUCACAAAAUUAAACAAGUUCAUUAAUUAACCGACUAAAGCUCGUCAUAAAAUGUGAUAUAAAACCAGGCAAAGAAAUAACCACCAAAGAGCUAUUGUCAUUGCCCAUCAAGCAAUUUGGCUCGGGACCAAAUUGCUCAAUUACUCCACUAUCCUCAAAAGAGGCUAGAGAACCAUGACAAUAGCUUCUUGCGCCAUAUCCAGCACUGGUUAAAUGUCCAAAACAAAAUUGGAAAAAACUGAAGCAAAUAAACAAAACUAGUUCAUCCAAGCAGAAUCCCAUCAAAAGCACAACCUCACUUCUUCUUCUGAGCAGCUUUGGUCACCUUGGCACCGGUUGGGUCCUUCUUGUCGACAUUCUUGAUGACACCAACAGCAACAGUCUGACGCAUGUCCCUCACAGCAAAACGACCCAAUGGUGGGUACUCAGAGAAGGUCUCAACAACCAUAGGCUUGGUAGGAAUCAUCUUAACCAUACCAGCAUCGCCAUUCUUCAAGAACUUAGGCUCCUUCUCAAGUUCCUUACCAGAACGUCUGUCGAUCUUGGUCAAGAUCUCAGCGAACUUGACAGCAAUGUGGGAAGUGUGGCAGUCGAGAACUGGUGCAUAUCCAUUUCCAAUCUGACCAGGAUGGUUCAUGAUGAUGACCUGGGAGGUGAAACUGGCAGCCCCUUUGGCUGGGUCAUCCUUGGAGUUUGAGGCAACAUAACCACGCUUGAGAUCCUUAACAGCAACAUUCUUAACAUUGAACCCAACAUUGUCACCAGGGAGUGCCUCCUGGAGAGCUUCGUGGUGCAUCUCUACAGACUUGACUUCAGUUGUCAGACCAGUAGGCCCAAAGGUCACAAGCAUACCAGGCUUGAGGACACCUGUUUCAACACGACCAACAGGGACUGUACCAAUACCACCAAUCUUGUAAACGUCCUGAAGUGGAAGACGUAGGGGUUUGUCUGUGGGCCUCUUGGGCUCAUUAAUCUGGUCAAGAGCCUCAAGGAGGGUUGGCCCCUUGUACCAGUCAAGGUUGGUAGACCUCUCAAUCAUAUUGUCCCCCUCGAAACCAGAGAUGGGGACAAAGGGAAUCUUGUCAGGGUUGUAACCAACCUUCUUGAGGUAGGAAGAAACUUCCUUCACAAUUUCAUCAUACCUAGCCUUGGAGUACUUGGGGGUGGUAGCAUCCAUCUGCAC
This 42017-nucleotide long non-coding RNA is filed under the name Nicotiana tabacum (common tobacco). RNAcentral describes it as "long non-coding RNA (NTAB_LNC018771)". Lineage: Eukaryota; Viridiplantae; Streptophyta; Magnoliopsida; Solanales; Solanaceae. The record is from RNAcentral.